UUGGCUGCAGAAAAAAAAAAAAAAACAGAAACCAGACAGGCUACAAACGAAUGGUAACAAAGGACAAGACAAAAAAAAAAGGGCGAUGCUUUAAAAAAAAAAUAACGAAAGAGGUGCCAGAAAAGAUGGCAACGUUUCCUUACGGUGUUGUCCUUUUUUGUCUCACUCGCGCUCCCCUUUGUGCUGCAUCCCAGCACUUACUGCUCAAGCAGUCUCAGCCUGGGCAGAUGCAGUACCGCAAUAGUGUAGUUAAUAGAAAAUAAAAGCGCAGGAUGUUUUUUUUUUUUUUUUAUUGGCACAUAGAAUGCACCUGAUACUAAUUAAUCAACUCUCGUUUACCUCUCAAAUGAGCAGGCAUUGAUCGACUUCUUUGAGAAAUUUCCACUCAGGACGAUGAAGAAAACAAGGAAAACAAAAAAAAGACAUGGAAAAUGAAAACUGAGGACUAACAGUUUUUGUUGCUGCAGCUUGGCACUGGUAGCAGUACUGUAAUAUGAAUUGGGAUUUAUGUGAGGAAAAAGAAAACCUUGCUGCUGCACAGGGAAGGAAAAAAACAGGUCACAGGCUCUGCAGUAAAUGCUCUGCAACUGCACACUGCAAAACAUAUUCAUCACACUCCAGACUGCUGCUGACGUCACCCAGACGCCAACUGCAACUUUGCAUGAUGCCAUGCUUGAUUCAUCAGAGCACUUUCGCAAAAAAAAAACCAAAACAACAAGAAUAACAAAAAAAAACAAAGAACAAAAAAAAGGUUUGAAUGGUGAUGGUAGGGUUUCCAAAUCCUUUAUGGACAGUCAUUCCCAGAACACCGGAGCAUAUCCGAUGACAAGAUGCUAUUUAGUUUGUACACAGACUGCUGAACAAAAAAAAAACUAAAACCUGUGAUGGUUUGGAACCCUGCCACUUUCCUACCCAGAGCAAAAGCUUUGGACUGCCUAUAAGCGCCAACACAGGCUAUGCAGCAUCUGUACCUUUUGGCACGCUGGCAUGCUUUUUUUUUUGUGUCUACAAUCUUACAGUGCCAACCGCAUAACGAUAAACAUGAAACACACCUCUGUGAUGCCCACUUCCAUUAUCUGGUAUUAAAGGGUUGAAUUGUGUUGAUUUUUUCUUACCUGGUUCUGAAUGCUGAAGAAUGGUACAGCGAGACGUGUGGCAGCAGCCUUUUGCAGUCCAGCACAUUCAGCAGACGCAGUGAGAGAGAGAAAUUAGUGAUGGCGGAAGGAAGAUUUGAGGCGAAUUAAAAUGUCGGCGCAGUGUUUGGGGACUGCAUUUCUAAACGAUUGUGUAAAUGGGGGCUAGUGCAUGACAGCAUGUUUAUGGGCACUGAGACCUGCUGGCAAAGACAAAGGUGCUACUGGGAUUACUAAUUGGAAUAUACAGACAUCGGAAACGGUUCCAUGGAUUACCUAAACAGCAGCAGCAGCAGUAGCCCGAUAGGUGCAGUUUGAUUUGGAGGAAAUGUCUUUUGCCUACAGAGCAGCAAGAUGAAUGAAUAUGCAAGGUAUUGUACUGCCAUACUGCGCAGUGUGACACAACAGGGCCAGCGUGCACCACAAAGCAAAUCUACAUUUAAUAGCCCUAUUAAUAGCAUUGUAAUGUUUUCUGUAAAGGAUAACAUUUAAAUAUUGUUUAGGAGACACAGCGGUGGCUAAUACUAAACCAUACCAUUUUUUUUAUGCCAGGUCAACAGUUGCCUGUUUAUUCUUUUCUCAAAAAAAUUGAGGAAUGAAUCACAAGAGUAAAAUGACAAUUAAAUAUCCAAUGAAGGUCAGGUGUAACCAGACAGGGCUUGAUUUGAUUAACCUACUGUGUAACCUGACAGGAGCAUUUUGCAGUACCACAAAAUCUAGCUGGAUUGCAUCCACCACUUUCUCAAAAUCUUGGAAUAACCACCGAUAUGAUUAAUGCAGUCCAAGGUGUAUCACCCGUGCUGUAAAACGCUCUAAAAAUCUGAUCAAAUUGACCCCAUUUUCACUUUUAGAUGUACUAGGCUGUUGCUAGUGUACAGGGUUUAAUUACAUUAAAGUUGUCCAAUAAACACAACUUCAUCACACUUUCUGUGAGAUAUUUGUUUGGUUAUUUGGUCCUUAAGACUUUUUAAUAGCCACUUGCAAUGGAUCAAAAGCAAAUGUUUUCAUCUGAACCAUGAAACAAGGCUGGGGCUGCUCUUGGUUUUAAUUGCAACCCAGUGUGUUUGGUGUCCUGCCAAAGAAAACACAUUAGAGUUUUAAUAAACCUGGCCCAGAGCCUGCAAUUGUUGAUCCAGUCUUGCUUUCUGUAGCGGGGUUUUCUGAAGUGCAAGUAUCUCAUUCAGAAAGGGAUUCAGAGUUAUAAUUACCUGGGAAACCAACUGCUGCAAACCAAUGAACAGCUAUUGCAGAAACAAUGGAAGCCUUUGUUUUGACAGAAUGCCAUUUAUUUAGCUGCAAAUGGAAAUUCCAUUGAGGAAAAUUAACCCAAUUAGGGAAAUAGCUAAAGGAAAAGAAAAGUCCCAAUCUCCCAGACCUAAAUGACCUAACAAAAUUAAAUAUGGAUAUGAUUUAAUUUCCUGACCCAAUUCUUCAAACUACAGAUAAAAAAAAACCUUUGAGACCUGAGGUUUGAAAGACAUGACUGAUAUUGUAUGUUAUUACAUUGUUGAAUAGGUAUGAUAAGAAAACUUGUGUCACCGAAUUAGUCAUUUUAAAGAAAAACAACACUGCUACACUCCCCAAGACUGAAAAGCAUAAUUCUGCUAAUGGUCUUUUUAUUGAGCAAAUAAACUGAUUAUAGCUUGCAGUAAAAACAUUUUUUUAAAAAGUAUUUAAUUAUUAAACUUGGAAAGUACUUUUUUCAAGCCGCUGUGGUAAAUUAAGGUGAAUCAAAACAGAACAAAAAGUCAUUAAAAAUUAAAUAUAAGCUCACUAAAUGAUCUUUUAAUCAUAUUGAAAUUAUGCUUUAAAAUUCUAUUUAGGACCAUAUAAAAUCAUUGGACAAUUCCAAUCACACCACACAGAAUAUGCUUGUUUACAAUGGCUAGAUACAGUUAUUGGGGCAGCAGUGUGGAGUAGUGGUUAGGGCUCUGGACUCCUAACCAGAGGGUCGUGGGUUCAAUCCCCAGUGAGGGACACUGCUGUUGUACCGUUGAGCAAGGUACUUUACCUAGAUUGCUCCAGUAAAAACCCAACUGUUUAAAUGGGUAAUUGUAUGUAAAAAUAAUGUGAUACGUGUAUAAUGUGAAAUAAUGUAUAAUGUGAUAUCUUGUAACAAUUGUAAGUCGCCCUGGAUAAGGGCGUCUGCUAAGAAAUAAAUAA
Long non-coding RNA from Acipenser ruthenus (sterlet), 3296 nucleotides. RefSeq lists it as uncharacterized. Lineage: Eukaryota; Metazoa; Chordata; Actinopteri; Acipenseriformes; Acipenseridae. The record is from RefSeq and is a predicted model, not a curated record. The transcript has 4 exons.